RNAcentral lists this long non-coding RNA (549 nucleotides) under Camelus dromedarius (Arabian camel). RNAcentral's name for it is "lncRNA (ENSCDRG00005020144.1)". The record is from RNAcentral. Lineage: Eukaryota; Metazoa; Chordata; Mammalia; Artiodactyla; Camelidae.
CGGGCGGGUCCCAGGGGCUGGGGCGGCAGAGCGCAUCCCGGAGGCAGGACCCCCGGGCGGCGGCGGCGUUCCGCCCCCGCAGGCGCGUCGCACCCCACAGGUCUUCGCCCGGCGCCCGUUCAGAGGAAAAAUUACGAAGCCUACCGGGCUGCGCACAGAGCGUUAAACCCGAGCGGGCACCCUUCGGAGCGGGCGCUGCGCCCGCGGGUGGGCGGCGCAGGCCGGGAGGGGCUGAGGCGGCUGCGGCUGGAGCGGGGACAAGGACGAAAGCCGGGCUUCCCGCUAGGAGGACGCCCCCAGAAUAAGCCAUGCAAGCGCACAGUCCCCAGUUUCCAGCUCGCUGAUGGUCUGGGUGUGGGGCGAGAACGAACUGCAGAGGAACCUGGGAUGACGCCAGAGUUCUGGCCUGAAAAACCAGAAGAACGGAGUUUGCGUUUUCUGAGAUGGGGUCUUCCUGGGAUGAGCAUAAAGAUAAUGAAAACUAGAUACGGCAGAAACAGCAGUGGAAGUAACGAGAAACACUGAGCACGGACGCCUGUGCACCCUCGC